This is a long non-coding RNA of Oncorhynchus keta (chum salmon), 5077 nucleotides long. RefSeq lists it as uncharacterized. The transcript has 18 exons. Lineage: Eukaryota; Metazoa; Chordata; Actinopteri; Salmoniformes; Salmonidae. The record is from RefSeq and is a predicted model, not a curated record.
UGUAACACACAACAUUGGCAGGCAGCUCCGAGCUGGAGUAGAGAAACAACACAUCUAGCAGAUAACGGAAUUAUAUAAGUAUUAAAAUAUAUUGUCACCAGUAUAUUACCGAAUGUUGUUAAGUAGUUAAUCAAUGUAGAUGCGAUAGGUAACAUUAACCCUCAACAUUUCUUAGCUGGCACAAGCUAGUUAGCUCGGAGCUAGCUUUAUUUGAUAAUUAUUGGAAAGUCUGGCAAGUGGUAGCUAGGUUUCUUAUAGCCAUGUAGCUAGCAAACUGUUUGUCAAUUGAUAUUUAACAUUACAGUAGCUAACUCGACGUUAAAAUAUGUACAUUCAUUCAUCAUCAUUUGAUUUACAAGGCGAGCGAAAAUCUAUGUAUAAACAGUCUGAAAAUAGCUUCUUCAAAUGUGGUGAAAAGACAAGCCCUAUCAGUGUAAUUUUGGUUACUUCGGGUAGCCGAGGGAACAAAUUGCUCUUUAGGUACCCAUUUCAACGGGUUGCAGAUUGCACAUCAUCACUCACGACAAAACAGCGAAGUCCAUAUGCAUUGAACACUACAGGAGAUGUUCUUGAAGACCCAGAUGGAGAUUCAAGAGAACAAACUCCAUUAACUGAUCAACAGUUGGUAGCAGGGUUCUCUGACAUCAUCCUUGCCACUAUCUUGGCCACCAAGUCUGAUAUGUGUGGGAAGAAGUUUGAGCUGAAGAUAGACAAUGUGCGUUUCGUUGGGCACCCCACCCUCCUCCAGCAUCCUCACACCAUUCAGGUGUCCAAGACAGACCCCUCACCUAAGAGGGAGAUGCCCACCAUGAUCCUGUUCAGUGUUGUGUUUGCUCUGAGGGCCAACGCCGACCCGUCCGUCAUCAGCUGCAUGCACAACCUGUCCCGGCGUAUCGCCAUCGCCCUGCAGCACGAGGAGUGCCGCUGCCAGUACCUCACCAGAGAGGCCAAGCUGAUGCUGGCCAUGCAGGACGAGGUCACCAACAUGACCGAGACUGAUGGCAGCCCUCAGUCACCGUUCAGACAAAUCCUUCCUAAAUGCAAGCUUGCCAGGGACUUGAAGGAGGCAUAUGACAGCCUGUGUACAACCGGGGUGGUGAGGCUCCAUAUCAACAACUGGCUGGAGGUGAGCUUCUGUUUACCUCACAAGAUCCACCGGGUAGGGGGCAACCACGUACCCCCAGAGGCUCUGGAGCGUAGCCUCAAGGCCAUAAGGCCGUAUCAUGCUCUGCUGUUGCUGGACAGUGAGAAGGCUCUGCUGGCCCAGCUGCCUUUGGAUUGCUCUCCUGCUCUGGUGCGCCUCAUUAAGACCUGCUCUGCAGUCAAGAACCUGCAGCAGCUGGCACAGGAUGCAGACCUGAACCUGCUACAGAUCUUCCAGAUUGCUGCUCACCUGGUGUACUGGGGAAAAGCCAUCAUAGUGUACCCUCUGUGUGAGAACAAUGUCUACAUGCUGUCCCCACACGCCAACAUCAGCCUGUACUCUCCAUUGGCUGAGGCGUUUGGCCAGCAGUUCCCAGGUCAUGACCUGCCUUCCAUGCUGGCCAAGUUCUCCCUGCCGCUCUCACUGUCUGAGUUUAGGAACCCACUGGAUGCGUCUGUGCAGGAGGCCCAGCUGAUCCAGAUGGUGGUGUGGAUGCUCCAGCGGCGCCUGCUGAUCCAGCUCCAUACCUUUGUGUGUCUGCUGGUCCCCCCCAGUGAGGAGGAGCCAGGUCUGCUGCGGGACGAGGAGCUCCCCCUGGUGGCCCGGGUGGGGGGACGCAGCCUCAGCACGCCCAGCGCACUCAGCUUCGGAUCUCCAACCAGCAGUGAUGACAUGACCCUGACCAGUCCCAGUAUGGAUAACUCCAGUGCAGAACUGCUUCCUGGUGGAGACUCUCCACUAAACAGGAGGAUGACCGAGACGUUACUGGCCAGCCUGACAGAGCACGAGCGCCAGGUCAUCCUCAAUAUCCCAGCUGCACAAAAUCCUGAAGACCUGCGCAUGUUUGCCAGGCUACUGCACUACUUCCGAGGGCACCAUCACCUGGAGGAGAUCAUGUAUAAUGAAAACAUGAGGCGAUCUCAGCUGAAGACCCUCUUUGACAAAUUCAGAAGUGUUCUGGUGGUCACCAACCAUGAGGACCCUGUCAUCUCCCUCUUCCAGUCUCCUCUGGAGUAGAGGUCUGUCAUCUCCCUCUUCCAAUCUCCUCUGGAGUAGAGGUCUGUCAUCUCCCUCUUCCAGUCUCCUCUGGAGUAGAGGUCUGUCAUCUCCCUCUUCCACUCUCCUCUGGAGUAGAGGUCUGUCAUCUCCCUCUUCCACUCUCCUCUGGAGUAGAGGUCUGUCAUCUCCCUCUUCCAGUCUCCUCUGGAGUAGAGGUCUGUCAUCUCCCUCUUCCAGUCUCCUCUGGAUUAGAGGUCUGUCAUCUCCCUCUUCCAGUCUCCUCUGGAUUAGAGGUCUGUCAUCUCCCUCUUCCAGUCUCCUCUGGAUUAGAGGUCUGUCAUCUCCCUCUUCCAGUCUCCUCUGGAUUAGAGGUCUGUCAUCUCCCUCUUCCAGUCUCCUCUGGAUUAGAGGUCUGUCAUCUCCCUCUUCCAGUCUCCUCUGGAUUAGAGGUCUGUCAUCUCCCUCUUCCAGUCUCCUCUGGAUUAGAGGUCUGUCAUCUCCCUCUUCCACUCUCCUCUGGAGUAGAGGUCUGUCAUCUCCCUCUUCCACUCUCCUCUGGAGUAGAGGUCUGUCAUCUCCCUCUUCCAGUCUCCUCUGGAGUAGAGGUCUGUCAUCUCCCUCUUCCAGUCUCCUCUGGAUUAGAGGUCUGUCAUCUCCCUCUUCCAGUCUCCUCUGGAUUAGAGGUCUGUCAUCUCCCUCUUCCAGUCUCCUCUGGAUUAGAGGUCUGUCAUCUCCCUCUUCCAGUCUCCUCUGGAUUAGAGGUCUGUCAUCUCCCUCUUCCAGUCUCCUCUGGAUUAGAGGUCUGUCAUCUCCCUCUUCCAGUCUCCUCUGGAUUAGAGGUCUGUCAUCUCCCUCUUCCAGUCUCCUCUGGAUUAGAGGUCUGUCAUCUCCCUCUUCCAGUCUCCUCUGGAUUAGAGGGUAGAGAGAGUGAACAGGUCUGUCAUGAGGUGAAGGACCCUUUCUGAAAUACCAGACGGACAGAAUGAUACGGACUGCUGCUGUACAAAGGCCUUAUUAUGGUGCUCAUUGCUUCUACCCAACUGUACUCCUAUCAAUGCUACCCAAAACAAUAAGAUUUCUAAAAUAACAACUGUCUGCUCUGAUUGGGGGACUGGGAGUGAAUGUAUGUAGCUUUUAGAUGAUUUAAUUUGUCCCUUUCAUGUUUUACGUUCAAAGCCUUGUUUUCAAUACUACUGUACAUGAUUGAAUAACAGUUGUGAAGAGCUUUAGUGAUACCUAUAAAUUGGGCAGUUUAAACACAGUACUCCACUUGAGCCUUUCCAUUUGGGGGAUUCCCAAAAGUGCUAAAUCAUCUCCAACAAACACAAUGUAGGAAAACAACCUUAAUGCUCAUUCCAGGCUGCAGGCAAGGCUGCCUCCCCCAGGAGUCUCAGUGGGAGGGAAAGAAUGAAAAGAUGCCAAACAUCAGACAUGCUGUUUCUGCUUUGAGAGAAGGAGCACGACGUUCCAAACAUCUGCGAAAUCAAUGAUUCCAAGGGAACUUUUCCAGCAAGGAUGUUUAUUAAUGAGAAUGACUGGAAUGGAAAUUCUAGUUGCUUUGAUAGCAGGGAGGGGAGGCUAGAUCAAAUAUUUUAAAGAUGUUUGGAAUGUAGUUUAAUUAUUUGUAGCAUACAAAUAUGGCAUAUUCCAUAUCUGUGGGAUUUGUGUUUGGGCAACAAUGUGUGUAUCUAAGUAGACGUAAUUAUAUAUUGAAUCUGGAUUCCCCUCAGAGCAAACAUUUUGGCUUUGGGUAUUUUGCAAUGAUUUCCCCAUAGCUAGACCAAAUUACUGAAAUAGCUCAUAGUUGACAUUUUUCACUUGCAUUAUGUCUGUAAAAACAUUAAGUAUAUACUCAUCAUGGUUUGAUACAAUUCCAAAAAUAUUCCCAGUUUCAAUUCUGUCCUGUGUCACCAUCACAUACGUCCACUGAGGAGGACGCAAAGUCUGAUAUCACAUUGUUGGCCAGUGAGUGAAUCUGUGUCUCUGCCUGUUUGUUCACUACACUCACACAGUGGUGACCACGCAGAUAGAAGCGCAGGGGUUUGGUGACCCAUUCCCCAUGAGAGUCAAUGCCGAUCCGGCUUGCUGAGACCACCUCCCUGAGGCCUGGCUCUUGCGGUCCUAUCUGAGUGUCUCUCCAGCCACACCUCUGGGUCUGAGGCAAGGUCUCUCCGGUCGAAGCAGCGCGGUAUGUCCAGGGCCUGGCACAGCUUUGAGGGACCAUUGCAUAGCUCUUUGUCCUUCAGGGGCCUGGCCUCCCCCCUCCGCCUGGCUGUCCGCAGCUGCUUCAUUAGAGGCAGGCCAUGUAGAGACUCCAGAGCCCGCAGAAGCACAGCAGCACCCUCCCCCUAGAGAGAACACACACAGGGAACGAUAGAGUGGAGCCAUAUUAUCUCCUUCCUUUGCCCUUUUUCUCCAGCGUGAAUGAAUGGAUAAUAACAUGGUGCAACAUAUAAUAUAACGUCUUCAAUAAUGAGAAACAGUUGAAAAAAAGAGAACUAUGUCCUAAUGAAAGUAACAUGGGAGAGCCUGGGAGAUGCAACACUACUUAGUCUCUAAUGAGGUGAUUUUCCUACAGAUAAGGCCAACACACUGAACUUUUCUGCGUGUGGUUUUAAUGGCAGUUUGGUUUAUUACUGGUGGUUUGUACCACUACCUUCAGGGUAAGCCUGGCUGUUGUACUGUUUUGUUGUAUGGUCUUACCUUGACUGGAAACAUUCAUACAGAGGUAGAUGCUGUAUAUGGGGUACACAUAGAUGGUGCCGGGUUUCAUAAACAUCACUGUGUUCCUCUCAGUACAUUUUCCCCCAGCAGAGUGAGAGGCUCUGUCCUCUCCCAGGUAGGCCUCAGUCUCCACCACCAUCUGCACUCCGACGCACCAAUACCUUGCAGCACAAACAAGGGAUGGCCUAAAUAAAGACUUUCUUUCAUGUG